AGUGUGAGUUGGUGCGAUUAGG
This 22-nucleotide microRNA is filed under the name Solanum tuberosum (potato). Its description in RNAcentral is "stu-miR8032d-3p". The record is from miRBase by way of RNAcentral. Lineage: Eukaryota; Viridiplantae; Streptophyta; Magnoliopsida; Solanales; Solanaceae.